This is an RNA transcript of Brassica rapa (field mustard), 5127 nucleotides long. RefSeq lists it as uncharacterized. NCBI's taxonomy places the organism in Eukaryota, Viridiplantae, Streptophyta, Magnoliopsida, Brassicales, Brassicaceae. The record is from RefSeq and is a predicted model, not a curated record.
GUUGUUUUGCGGUUUGAAUUUAGAGUGAUUGAGUGUUGUAAUGUCUUGUACAGGAAAAUUAUGAAGAAAAAUCAAAAGGUAGUCCCCAAUGAAAGUCGUCGUCAGUCUCUUAGAGUCAGGAAACCGGACUCGGCUGCAAAAAAACCAGAACCGAGAGUUCAGAAGAGCAAGAAAAGCAGUAAGAAGAGUAAGAAGAGUAGGCCAGUGAGAGAGCCAGCGAGAGCACCGAGUGUAGAAUCGCUCUCAGUCUCAGAUGAGUCCGAAAGAGAGGGGUCCGAUAGUGAGGGGUCUGAAAGAGAGGAAAUGCAACCGAAUCAACCCCUUGAGUUCUACUUCAAAAGCAGCGAGUUCCCCCAUAGUUCGAAGAUACAAACUAAGUGCUUCGUGACCAGGACAGUAAAGCUCAUCAGGGAUAAGCCUGAGGCUGCGUGGUUCACAAGCCAUCCUCAGUUUCGACAUUUCUUCCACAUGCCAGACGAAGAUAACCUGAAGCUUCAGGGGAUGUGGAUGUUACUACUGCGCACCAUUUGUACUCCAGAAGAUGAUGUUGCAUGGUUUGCGGUUAAUGGUGUACCCAUCCGCUAUUCUAUGAGGGAGCAUGCCCUCAUCUCUGGGUUAGACUGCGGUGAUUAUCCACCAAACUAUGAGAAGUUGGGAGGUUAUAAGUUUGUGGAUUAUUACUUCCAUGACAGAAAGAAGAUCACCAUCACUGAUGUGAAGCAGAAGAUGUUGUCUAUGCCGCCGUGUCCAGAUAGAUUGAAGAUGACAGUCUUGUUUUUUCUUGGUCGGGUUAUCAGAGGAAAGCCGAAGGAUGCUGGAAAUUUAGACGACUUCAUAUUAAGGAUGAUGGACGAUUUAGAUGCUUGCAGAUCAUUUCCCUGGGGUCGUCUAACGUUUGAGGAUGCAAUAAAGGAGAUUAAGCACGUGAUGAACCAUCUGAAGGGUGAAGUGAAAGAGGCAUGCGCCUUUCCUGGUUUCAUCAUCCCUUUAGAGGUUCUGGCUUUUGAGUGUAUUCCGGAUCUGGGGAAGACGUUUAGAAUCUAUUCAGAGGACGCCAGUGAAGAAUGUCCAAGGAUGUGUAAGAGCCGGUUUACAAAGUCCAGUCUUAGGGGUUAUCCUUUGGAAGACAUAUAUGCUGCUGUUGGAGAAACAAAGGUUAUCAACAGUGUCUUAGUUCCAACUAUUGGUGAGCAAAUUAUGCUGGCUCGUAUCAUUGAUGAGGAGCGAGAGUAUGACCGUCAGGGCAGCCCAAGUGAUACUUGGAACUACUGGUUAAAUGUGAAGCAGAAGAAUAUUUGGUGGGAAGAGCUAUAUGAGUUGGAUCAAGCUGCACGAGGAGUGUUGCCAAAAAAGAAAGACAAAGAGAAGGUGACGUUUGCAGAAGGAUCAUCCUCUAAUUCUGGAUUAGAUUCGAGGUUGCAAGGUCUGGAAGAGAGGAUUUUGGAGUUCAUGGGAGAAAGAUUUGCUGGACUUCACGUCACGGUGGAGACAAUGUUAGAGGCUCAAAGCUCAAGGAUGAGUGUUCUUGAAAAGAACCAGCGGCUUUUGAGAAGAAGGGCUAAGAAAAUAGAAGACAGGCUAACUUCUAUUGAGAGUAAAGUGGAGCCGAGUCAUGGUGAAGACAUGGAUUUUCGACAGUGGGACAAUGAUACAUAUGAAGAGAAGGACAAAGCUUGUUCUGAGAAGGAGAAAGCUAAUGCUGAGCACGAGGCUGGAAAAGAAAAGGAUAACAUCGAGAAUACUGAGGAAGAGGGUGAGAAAGAGGCUGAUGACAAUGCUCAGCAAGAGGGUGAGAAAGAGAAGGAAAAUAGUGAGGCUGAUGAGGAAGAAGACAGUGAGAGUGAAAGUGAAGAGUUGAAGCAAAUGAAGGAGAGAAGUAGAAGACAAGCUGCUAAAUUGUGGAAGGAAAUUGCGAAUGAGGAAAAGAUUGGAGGGAAACAUGAUGAAGAAGAAAGUGAAGAGAAAGAAGCUGAAACCAGUGAGGAAAAGGAUGAGAACAAUGAUGAGAAAGAUGAAGAAAAAGUGGUGGAAUCUGAGGCUGAAGGAGAAGAUGAUCAAGUAGAGGUUGGAGGGAAAGAGGAUCAAGAAGAAGAAGUUGAAGGAAAGGAGUCUGAAACCAGGGAGAAAGAAAAGGAGAAAAAUGAGACUGAGGAGGUGGAAUCUGAAGCACGGGAGACAGAGAUAGAAAAAGGAACUCCGACACCACCACGUGGGAAUCAGACAGAGAGAACUCCCAAAGAUGAUGACAAUGAGCCUCGGGUUGAGCCUCGGGUUGAGACGAACAGAACCGGUGAAACUCCAACACCACCACAUGGGAGUCAGUCAGAGGGAACUCCCAAAGUUGAUGACACUGAGCCUCGGGUUGAGACAAACAGAACCGGCAUAUCUAUCAGUUUCAUCAUCCUCUUCUGAAAGUUGCACUUCUUCAUUGAUGAACUCCACAUGUAGAACACUUCUACACUUCUCAUGAUUUACUUGCAGUAGAUAACCAAAAACGUCUUCAUCAUUCCAGAUGUAUGAUGGCUUGUACGAAUACAAUACCAUUGGAAAGUAACUAAUCUUCACUUGCACCUUAGAUUCAUCUACCCUUAUCUUUCUGCAAAUACGCUCAACCAAAGCAUAGUAAGUGAUAUCUUCCAUUGAUUUCCUCAACACAAUCGUGUGGAUUUCAUCUUCUCCUUCACCACCUCCUGAGAUCCAUUUUAUUUCAGCCCCAUCUUUCAUAUAAUAUCCCCCAUAAUCAAAACAAAUGAUUGUGCAAUUCGGAUUUUGCAUUUUCCUGAAAUAAAAUAGAAUAUCAUUAGAAUUCUCAUUAUUAAGAUGUUUAGAAUUAAUUAUCACACCGUACAAUCUUCUCUUACUAAUACUAAUUUAAUUCAGUACUAUACAUAGUAAUACUAGAAAUUACAGUAAGAAAUAUCAAUAUAGUAAUCCUAGUAUUUCCAGUAAACCUUUUUUCUUUAGUAAAACUAGUUAUACCAGUAAUACCCAGAACUUAUCCUUGAACUAACUAAUUCGCUUUUAGGACCCUAUUGUUAGUAUUUUACAUCAACCAUGAUGUAUAAUUCAUCUUAAAUGAAAUUACACACAGAAAAUCAUCGAAACACACAUAAAAAUACCCAAAAUCUAUAAACACAGUUUUCAAAAUCUUUUUAAAUCUCUCAUAAUUUUCACUGGAUCUUCUUUUUUUUUACACUAGCCGAGAUAUACACUUUUUUUAAUAACAUUUCAGCAAAAAAAUUCAUCCAAAACGGACGUUAAAAAUACCCGAUAGCCCUAAACACAGUUUUUGAAAUCGUUUUUAAUCUCUCAAAUUUUCAUCAAAUCUUACUUUUUUAACGUUACCUAUCAUAUACACGAUUUUUAAAUGUAAUAUCACAAAAAAAAAUCAUCGAAAACGAACCUGAAUUGCCUAUUUUUUGAGCUUCAAAAAACGCUAAUGGAGGAUGAGAGGAAGAAGCUUGUACGAUGAAGAAGGAGACAUGUGGGUCAGGAGAAAUCUGAUUGGUUAAGGUUGUUUUGUGGGCCAUAUAGGUUGUUGAAUUAUGGUUGGUUUAUUUAAUUGGAGAAUAAAUGAAAGGCUAGUUUGGGGAGUGCAAGGAUAAAAGGGUAGGAAGAAUAGAGAAGGGGCAGUAAGAAUUCAUUUAAGGGGGUAUGGGGCAUAUGGAGUUAAUCUCCUAAAUGAAGAAAACUGUUCACUCAAAAACCCUAAUUUAAACACAUAAAGUAAUGAAUUAAGUCAUAUUUGUCUACUAGGUAUAUACCUAUGCUUUGAGUUUGGAAAUUAUAAAAUGAAUUAAUGGGCUUUAUUGGGUCUAAAGGGGCUUUACAUUUUUAACAGGAGGAGGAGGGAGGACCGUCCGAUUGAAAAUACUUAAGAGGACGAAGACAAAUCGUGACCGUCCGAUUGAACAUAUAUCCGUUACGGUUUAAAGAUCCAACAAUACACAUACCAAAGGGAUUUUUAAGGUUUUCUCCCCAAAUGUCUUGGACGACGACGACUCAUACAACAGGUUUCUUUCCCGACUCCACAUGAAACCAACCACCGUCGUCGAGGCACGUCUUUGUCUACAACAAAUCUUUGCGGGCUACUUGAUGUAAAGCGAACAAAGUAGAUCAACAAUGGGUUCCAUUACAUCCACAACUCCGAACAGAGUCACUGAAGCUCUACUAUCGCCUGAUAUUAGAUUCUUAUUUGGGGACAUUGUCCCGUCGGUUGGUAGUGCAUGCGAUGUUUGGGGAUGAAACUUUAAGUACCCACGGCUUAUUAAGAAAAUGACCAGCGGCUUAAAAAAAAUAAGGCAAAGACUCUUGUGACCAAGUCUUUAAGCAAAAGGUUACAGAUAUGUUCAUGUUGGAUGGAUAAAACGAACAACAAUGAACAACAACAUGUCUUUAGACAAAAGGCCAUGAGAUUGUUGGAAUGGAAAAAAGCGAUAAAAAAAGGGCUUAAAAAGAGGUCUUUGAUGAGACAAUGAUUGUGAUACCCACGGCUUAGAAAAAUUCAUAAGACAAUGUCUGAAUUGGUCUUAUUUGUCCCGUCGGUUGGUAGUGCAUGCGUUUGGGGAUGGAUAGUACCCACGGCUUAUUACGAAAGCGACCAACAACUUGAAAAUAAAGACUGUAAAUUUGUUGGAUGGACUAAACGACCAACGGUUUACAAUAAAGUCUCUGUAAACAAAGAUUAUGACUGUGUUGGAUGGAUAGUACGAUCAACAAUAGCCGUGUUCGUUUGUUAACCGCAAGACGCUCCCGCUGCGGCAAGAAAAAGCACGGUGAUGAUGAUCAAAAUAAUAGAAACUUAAGUUAAAGUAACCGCCAACUAUUUUCGGAGACACAAAAAACGAGACGCCGGUGCCGCUAAAAUUUUCAGCGUCCCUUCUACUGCUCCUGCGUCAUCGGUGUUGCGUGUUGUUAAUCGCCGCUGCGGUCAUGGGUGUUGUGUGUUGACGUGAUUCCCGUUUAAUUUUUGGUUGCUGCCGCUGCGUCUUGCGGCUAAGAAACGAACACGGCUAAUGAACAAAAAUGUCUUUAGACAAAGGUUACAGAUAUAUGUUGGAUGGAUAAAACGAUCAACAAUAAACAAAAUGUCUUUAGACAAGAAGAAAAAAGUGGUCUUUGAGGCAA